This 492-nucleotide ribosomal RNA is filed under the name uncultured bacterium. RNAcentral describes it as "partial 16S ribosomal RNA". It matches the Rfam family "Bacterial small subunit ribosomal RNA", at positions 29 to 507 of the family's 1533-position model. The record is from RNAcentral.
AGUGAACGCUGGCGGUAGGCCUAACACAUGCAAGUCGAACGGCAGCACAGUAAGAGCUUGCUCUUACGGGUGGCGAGUGGCGGACGGGUGAGGAAUACAUCGGAAUCUACUUUUUCGUGGGGGAUAACGUAGGGAAACUUACGCUAAUACCUCAUACGACCUACGGGUGAAAGCAGGGGAUCUUCGGACCUUGCGCGAUUGAAUGAGCCGAUGUCGGAUUAGCUAGUUGGCGGGGUAAAGGCCCACCAGGGCGACGAUCCGUAGCUGGUCUGAGAGGAUGAUCAGCCACACUGGAACUGAGACACGGUCCAGACUCCUACGGGAGGCAGCAGUGGGGAAUAUUGGACAAAGGGCGAAAGCCUGAUCCAGCCAUACCGCGUGGGUGAAGAAGGCCUUCGGGUUGUAAAGCCCUUUUGUUGGGAAAGAAAAGCAGCAGGUUAAUACCCCGCUGUUCUGACGGUACCAAAAGAAUAAGCACCGGCUAACUUCGUG